This is a long non-coding RNA of Poecilia latipinna (sailfin molly), 907 nucleotides long. RefSeq lists it as uncharacterized. Lineage: Eukaryota; Metazoa; Chordata; Actinopteri; Cyprinodontiformes; Poeciliidae. The transcript is spliced from 2 exons. The record is from RefSeq and is a predicted model, not a curated record.
GUGUCUUCCUCCUCUCUCAAAUAAAAGCCUCUGGAGCCAAUAAAACCUUUAAAAAAGAAUCAAAAGAUGCAGAACCAAGUUUCAUCUCCAGUUAUGAAAAAUCUUAAUCCCUGUAGAUUCCAUAAAUAAUCCAUAAAAACUUAACAGUUUAAAAUAAAAUGAACUGUAAUGAUAAAGGAAGAACAGACUGAGACACUUUGAGCAGACAUGUCAGAGCCUGAUCACAGGUUCCAGCUCUGUGUUGUGGCUGCAGCAGGUUAAGAUAAUCUGUAAUCUGAUCAGAUUACAGAAGCUUUUCUAGAAAAACAGAGUUCAGAUGUUUCCUGCAGCUCUCAGACUCAGUGGUGUGAGAAGAACACAGUGAAUAUUUACUGAAUUAUAACAAUCAGACGAUCUUAUUGAUAUGUUUCAUAUUUACAUGAAAAGCAGACAGUCAUGAUGGCGUCAGGAUGAGGAUCUGAUUCUGACCCCUUUGGCUUCCUGUAGUUUACAGUCUGAGGUCUGAUGUUGCUCAGACCGAUCAGCUGUGUGUCUGAUGGACGAUGAGGCGAAGAUGAGGAUGAUGAGGGUCUUCAGUAGACCAGUCCGGUGGUCUGAUAUCAGACUCUGAGCCGAUCAGCUGCUGCUGGACGUCCCUCCAUCCAACACAACAUCUGAGGCUUUAUGACACAAUGUGACACUUUGGGGCCUUUUAUUGUCCAGCUGCUGCUCAUUUGGUCUGGUCACCCAGUGGACAUGUCCCACAAUGCACUGGGAAAAACUCACUGAGUAUUAAUGCUGACUGACAGCAGGCUGGACUAAAAUUAUAGAAACAUUACAAAAUAUCAGCAAAUGUUCAUUUACAGUCGUUAACUCCACAUGGCAACAAUAUCUGACAUAUUUAUAUUUUUGUUCAGGGCAUUAAAAU